GGCUGCGUAGCUCAGUGGUAGAGCAUUCGUUUCAUAAGCGAGUGGUCACAGGUUCGAAUCCUGUCGCAGCCACUA
Molecule: transfer RNA, 75 nt
Filed under: Candidatus Woesebacteria bacterium RIFCSPHIGHO2_01_FULL_38_26b
Lineage: Bacteria; Candidatus Woeseibacteriota
Description: tRNA-Met
Rfam family: tRNA
About the family: Transfer RNA (tRNA) molecules are approximately 80 nucleotides in length. Their secondary structure includes four short double-helical elements and three loops (D, anti-codon, and T loops).
Source: RNAcentral